GAUGAACGCUGGCGGCGUGCCUAAUACAUGCAAGUCGAGCGAACGGACGAGAAGCUUGCUUCUCUGAUGUUAGCGGCGGACGGGUGAGUAACACGUGGAUAACCUACCUAUAAGACUGGGAUAACUUCGGGAAACCGGAGCUAAUACCGGAUGAUAUUUUGAACCGCAUGGUUCAAAAGUGAAAGACGGUCUUGCUGUCACUUAUAGAUGGAUCCGCGCUGCAUUAGCUAGUUGGUAAGGUAACGGCUUACCAAGGCAACGAUGCAUAGCCGACCUGAGAGGGUGAUCGGCCACACUGGAACUGAGACACGGUCCCGACUCCUACGGGAGGCAGCAGUAGGGAAUCUUCCGCAAUGGGCCAAAGCCUGACGGAGCAACGCCGCGUGAGUGAUGAAGGUCUUCGGAUCGUAAAACUCUGUUAUUAGGGAAGAACAUAUGUGUAAGUAACUGUGCACAUCUUGACGGUACCUAAUCAGAAAGCCACGGCUAACUACGUG
Molecule: ribosomal RNA, 497 nt
Filed under: uncultured bacterium
Lineage: Bacteria
Description: partial 16S ribosomal RNA
Rfam family: Bacterial small subunit ribosomal RNA
Source: RNAcentral